Oncorhynchus keta (chum salmon) is the source of this 64-nucleotide small nucleolar RNA. NCBI's taxonomy places the organism in Eukaryota, Metazoa, Chordata, Actinopteri, Salmoniformes, Salmonidae. The record is from RefSeq and is a predicted model, not a curated record.
UUUCAGUGAUGCUUACAAAUGUCUGACCUGAAUUGUUUAUGUGGACAUUACCAAAACUGAGGAA